This 522-nucleotide ribosomal RNA is filed under the name uncultured Pseudomonas sp. RNAcentral's name for it is "bacterial SSU rRNA". It matches the Rfam family "Bacterial small subunit ribosomal RNA", at positions 1 to 524 of the family's 1533-position model. The record is from RNAcentral. Lineage: Bacteria; Pseudomonadati; Pseudomonadota; Gammaproteobacteria; Pseudomonadales; Pseudomonadaceae.
UAGAGUUUGAUUCUGGCUCAGAUUGAACGCUGGCGGCAGGCCUAACACAUGCAAGUCGAGCGGUAGAGAGAAGCUUGCUUCUCUUGAGAGCGGCGGACGGGUGAGUAAUGCCUAGGAAUCUGCCUGGUAGUGGGGGAUAACGUUCGGAAACGGACGCUAAUACCGCAUACGUCCUACGGGAGAAAGCAGGGGACCUUCGGGCCUUGCGCUAUCAGAUGAGCCUAGGUCGGAUUAGCUAGUUGGUGGGGUAAUGGCUCACCAAGGCGACGAUCCGUAACUGGUCUGAGAGGAUGAUCAGUCACACUGGAACUGAGACACGGUCCAGACUCCUACGGGAGGCAGCAGUGGGGAAUAUUGGACAAUGGGCGAAAGCCUGAUCCAGCCAUGCCGCGUGUGUGAAGAAGGUCUUCGGAUUGUAAAGCACUUUAAGUUGGGAGGAAGGGCAGUAAAUUAAUACUUUGCUGUUUUGACGUUACCGACAGAAUAAGCACCGGCUAACUCUGUGCCAGCAGCCGCGGUAAU